Molecule: long non-coding RNA, 1088 nt
Organism: Rhinolophus ferrumequinum (greater horseshoe bat)
Lineage: Eukaryota; Metazoa; Chordata; Mammalia; Chiroptera; Rhinolophidae
Exons: 4
Source: RefSeq, a predicted model, not a curated record
GUGGUGCAAGAGCUGACCGUACAGAGCAGGAUUAGAUUUAGCAGGGCUCUGGUGCCUGACCAGUGUGCCCUUUAGGUGUGUCAUUCUUGGAGGUGGUCGGGUGUUGCUCUGGCUUGAUCUGAAGUUGACCACUAAGUGUGUGAGCCCUGGAGUCUCCUGGGAGGGGACCUGCGGCAGGCUAAGUUCAGCUAUAGCCUGUGCCCUGCCUGUGGCCACCUGGCAUGAGCCACAAAGCAAUCCACAGAUGGCCGUCAUUUGCACUGAGUUUGGAGCUCUUCUGUCUGGGAGAAAGCUGACCCUCUAGCCCUCAUUCUGAAGCCAGAUCAUUCAGUUCCUCUUCCUGUGCCUGGCACCUUUACACCUGCUGCCGCAACGCUGGAGCUCAGAGCCGGUGAAUCCAUCAGGAAGUAGGUAGACUUGACAUUGCCACCAUUAUCUCAUUGAAGAAAUUGAUGCUCCAGGUGAACUUGGGCAACUAAAGCCUUCCUUGUGGUAGAGCUUUGCCCUUCCCAUCCCUCAAAGGGGAGAUGAAGCCACAAGACUCUCCAGUUGACAAGUACAACGUAGUGGUUGGGGCAGGGAGGAAAGACCUCAGCGACAAUGGCUUCUCCUCCUUUUGUGCAGUGACAAUUUGAGAACGGGUAGAAGAGAUUGCGCUGCGGAAGGAGCAACUGAGCAUCCAUCCACUGAGGUCCGGACGCCCUCAAAGUUGGCGAAUUUCUGUUGUGCCCCUUUCGCACAGCUACACAUUUUUUAGCUCUGUCUCCUCUCCCUUUGGUCUCUGUGUCUCCGUUCAACCAGCACCAUGGAAGCGCGGGUCUCAUUUCCCAGGCGCUGCCAGUGGUGCCAUCGCCCAGCAGAGGGCAGCAUUGAGAUACUAAUGACGUGUGCCCAGGGCGUCUGCGUCGGCAAGAGGAACCGCAGGGCCCACACUUGUUCCAGGCACUAACCUUUUAAACAAUUCCCUGGGGAGCCCUUUAUGCCCUGUGUGGGCUGCCCGAAAAUGAGCAGGCGAUAGGAAUGAAAUAUUAAACAAUUCUGUUCCGCGGAAUGAAAAUGAGUUGUCAUUUAGCAUUUUAUCAGUUGAU